UGGGGGAUAUUGCACAAUGGGCGAAAGCCUGAUGCAGCGACGCCGCGUGGGGGAUGAAGGCUUUCGGGUUGUAAACCUCUUUCGCUAUCGAACAAGGCCCGCUUAGGGUGGGUUGAGGGUAGGUGGAGAAGAAGCGCCGGCUAACUACGUGCCAGCAGCCGCGGUAAUACGUAGGGCGCGAGCGUUGUCCGGAAUUAUUGGGCGUAAAGGGCUUGUAGGCGGCUUGUUGCUCCUGCUGUGAAAACGCGGGGCUUAACUUCGCGCGUGCAGUGGGUACGGGCAGUCUUGAGUGUGGUAGGGGUGACUGGAAUUCCAGGUGUAGCGGUGGAAUGCGCAGAUAUCUGGAGGAACACCGAUGGCGAAGGCAGGUCACUGGGCCAUUACUGACGCUGAGGAGCGAAAGCAUGGGUAGCGAACAGG
This 420-nucleotide ribosomal RNA is filed under the name bacterium. Its description in RNAcentral is "partial 16S ribosomal RNA". It matches the Rfam family "Bacterial small subunit ribosomal RNA", at positions 355 to 776 of the family's 1533-position model. The record is from RNAcentral.